Molecule: ribosomal RNA, 369 nt
Filed under: Theileria ovis
Lineage: Eukaryota; Apicomplexa; Aconoidasida; Piroplasmida; Theileriidae
Description: SSU rRNA
Rfam family: Eukaryotic small subunit ribosomal RNA
Source: RNAcentral
AAUUUAAACCUCUUCCAGAGUAUCAAUUGGAGGGCAAGUCUGGUGCCAGCAGCCGCGGUAAUUCCAGCUCCAAUAGCGUAUAUUAAAAUUGUUGCAGUUAAAAAGCUCGUAGUUGAAUUUCUGCUGCAUUGCUUUUGCUCCUUUACGAGUCUUUGCAUUGUGGCUUAUUUCGGACUUUGUUUUACAAUGUCCGGAUGUUUACUUUGAGAAAAUUAGAGUGCUCAAAGCAGGCUUUCGCCUUGAAUAGUUUAGCAUGGAAUAAUAAAGUAGGACUUUGGUUCUAUUUUGUUGGUUUUAGGUACCAAAGUAAUGGUUAAUAGGAACAGUUGGGGGCAUUCGUAUUUAACUGUCAGAGGUGAAAUUCUUAGA